RNAcentral lists this ribosomal RNA (262 nucleotides) under uncultured bacterium. RNAcentral's name for it is "partial 16S ribosomal RNA". It matches the Rfam family "Bacterial small subunit ribosomal RNA", at positions 793 to 1055 of the family's 1533-position model. The record is from RNAcentral.
GUCCACGCCGUAAACGUUGGGCACUAGGUGUGGGUCUCAACCAACGGGAUCCGUGCCGCAGCUAACGCAUUAAGUGCCCCGCCUGGGGAGUACGGCCGCAAGGCUAAAACUCAAAGGAAUUGACGGGGGCCCGCACAAGCGGCGGAGCAUGUUGCUUAAUUCGAGGCAACGCGAAGAACCUUACCUGGGUUUGACAUGUAGGGAAAAGCCGUAGAGAUACGGUGUCCUUUUGGGCCCUACACAGGUGGUGCAUGGCUGUCGU